Rhincodon typus (whale shark) is the source of this 379-nucleotide long non-coding RNA. RefSeq lists it as uncharacterized. The record is from RefSeq and is a predicted model, not a curated record. NCBI's taxonomy places the organism in Eukaryota, Metazoa, Chordata, Chondrichthyes, Orectolobiformes, Rhincodontidae. The transcript has 3 exons.
CCUCAGAGGACAACGUCCAUCUCACCAGCGCCAGGCCGCAAGAGUUCACCCGGAAACAGCAGUGGAUUGGCUAAUCGGCCCAGUGCCCAGUUAAUAAGAGCAAGUAAUCCUGACCUGCGUAAGAAUGACAACCUGUUGGAGACUCCCCUGCAACGCACUAGCAGUGGCAGCUCAUCCAGUUCCAGCACUCCCAGCUCCCAACCUGGCUCCCAGAGUGGAUCCCAGAGCAGUUCCCAACCAGGUUCCCAAAGUGGAUCCAACGAGCGCAACCAAAUCCGGGGAACAGGGAAGCCUGAAGGAUCACCAGUUCUUCCUCAUGAGAGUUCGCGAGUGAAAGCAGAAGAAGGACGGGAGUUGACACGGCCUGGGAGACCUGCUG